Zea mays is the source of this 109-nucleotide non-coding RNA. The record is from Rfam. Lineage: Eukaryota; Viridiplantae; Streptophyta; Magnoliopsida; Poales; Poaceae.
ACUCCCGUAUUCACCUCAAUCCACAUGUAUUUAGGUGGAUUGGGGUGUAAAUUAGUUUAAGUUACACACCAGUCCACCUCAAUGCAUGUGGAUUGAGGUGAAUAUGCGA